This 432-nucleotide ribosomal RNA is filed under the name uncultured bacterium. Its description in RNAcentral is "bacterial SSU rRNA". It matches the Rfam family "Bacterial small subunit ribosomal RNA", at positions 29 to 507 of the family's 1533-position model. The record is from RNAcentral.
AACGAACGCUGGCGGCAGGCCUAACACAUGCAAGUCGAGCGAGACCUUCGGGUCUAGCGGCGGACGGGUUAGUAACGCGUGGGAACGUGCCCUUCUCUGCGGAAUAGCCACUGGAAACGGUGAGUAAUACCGCAUACGCCCUUCGGGGGAAAGAUUUAUCGGAGAAGGAUCGGCCCGCGUUAGAUUAGGUAGUUGGUGGGUAACGGCCUACCAAGUCUACGAUCUAUAGCUGGUUUUAGAGGAUGAUCAGCAACACUGGGACUGAGACACGGCCCAGACUCCUACGGGAGGCAGCAGUGGGGAAUCUUAGACAAUGGGCGCAAGCCUGAUCUAGCCAUGCCGCGUGUGUGAUGAAGGUCUUAGGAUCGUAAAGCACUUUCGCCAGGGAUGAUAAUGACAGUACCUGGUAAAGAAACCCCGGCUAACUCCGUG